CCUACGGGCGGCUGCAGUGGGGAAUAUUGGACAAUGGGCGAAAGCCUGAUCCAGCCAUGCCGCGUGUGUGAAGAAGGCCUUCGGGUUGUAAAGCACUUUCAGUGGGGAAGAAAGCCUUGGGGCUAAUACCCUCGAGGAAGGACAUCACCCACAGAAGAAGCACCGGCUAACUCCGUGCCAGCAGCCGCGGUAAUACGGAGGGUGCGAGCGUUAAUCGGAAUUACUGGGCGUAAAGCGCGCGUAGGCGGUCUGAUAAGCCGGUUGUGAAAGCCCCGGGCUCAACCUGGGAACGGCAUCCGGAACUGUCAGGCUAGAGUGCAGGAGAGGAAGGUAGAAUUCCCGGUGUAGCGGUGAAAUGCGUAGAGAUCGGGAGGAAUACCAGUGGCGAAGGUGGCCUUCUGGACUGACACUGACGCUGAGGUGCGAAAGCGUGGGUAGCAAACAGGAUUAGAUACCCUGGUAGUC
This 465-nucleotide ribosomal RNA is filed under the name Vreelandella stevensii. Its description in RNAcentral is "partial 16S ribosomal RNA". It matches the Rfam family "Bacterial small subunit ribosomal RNA", at positions 338 to 795 of the family's 1533-position model. Lineage: Bacteria; Pseudomonadati; Pseudomonadota; Gammaproteobacteria; Oceanospirillales; Halomonadaceae. The record is from RNAcentral.